AACGAACGCUGGCGGCAUGCCUAACACAUGCAAGUCGAACGAGACCUUCGGGUCUUGUGGCGCACGGGUGCGUAACGCGUGGGAACCUGCCCUUAGGUUCGGAAUAACUCCCCGAAAGGGGUGCUAAUACCGGAUAAUGUCUUCGGACCAAAGAUUUAUUGCCUUUGGAUGGGCCCGCGUUGGAUUAGCUAGUUGGUAGGGUAAAAGCCUACCAAGGCGACGAUCCAUAGCUGGUCUUAGAGGAUGAUCAGCCACACUGGGACUGAGACACGGCCCAGACUCCUACGGGAGGAAGCAGUGGGGAAUAUUGGACAAUGGGCGAAAGCCUGAUCCAGCAAUGCCGCGUGAGUGAUGAAGGCCUUAGGGUUGUAAAGCUCUUUUAACCGGGAUGAUAAUGACGGUACCGGGAGAAUAAGCGCCGGCUAACUCCGUG
This 433-nucleotide ribosomal RNA is filed under the name uncultured bacterium. RNAcentral describes it as "partial 16S ribosomal RNA". It matches the Rfam family "Bacterial small subunit ribosomal RNA", at positions 29 to 507 of the family's 1533-position model. The record is from RNAcentral.